CACGGGUGAGUAACACGUAUCCAACCUGCCGUCUACUCUUGGACAGCCUUCUGAAAGGAAGAUUAAUACAAGAUGGCAUCAUGAGUCCGCAUGUUCACAUGAUUAAAGGUAUUCCGGUAGACGAUGGGGAUGCGUUCCAUUAGAUAGUAGGCGGGGUAGCGGCCCACCUAGUCUUCGAUGGAUAGGGGUUCUGAGAGGAAGGUCCCCCACAUUGGAACUGAGACACGGUCCAA
This 233-nucleotide ribosomal RNA is filed under the name uncultured bacterium. Its description in RNAcentral is "partial 16S ribosomal RNA". It matches the Rfam family "Bacterial small subunit ribosomal RNA", at positions 102 to 334 of the family's 1533-position model. The record is from RNAcentral.